CCCUUUUAAUCAAUAGAAAUCUUACUGUCCUGUUCAAAUUAAUUCAAUUCAGCACUGCAAUUUGCACUGGGAGACUGCCAUGGCUUGUGUGUGUGUAUGCAUGUGCAUGGGUGUGUGCAUAUCCGUGUGCAUGCGUUUCUGUGUGUGUGUGUGUGUGAUUAGCCCUUGUUACAGGUCUGCUGAGGGAGGUAGUAAUGAGAGACUAGAGUGUGGUCAAUGUGCACUUCUGUCAACAAGACCAUGCUGGCCUACAUGUGUCAGAGGUCAGGGGCUGUGUUAAAAAAGAGUGUUGUGGCUGAGUGGUGUGACUGAGAUAGAGAUGGACCCAGCUGUCUGAACCCAGGGUAACAUGCUGCUCCUUAUGAUGGGCUGUGGAGAGAGGCAGAGGUGAUUACUGCAACCUAUCUAUACAGAACAUACAGCCAGGCAUACAGCUGGUUGGUUGAAAUUACAUCAUGUUAUCUGCUUGAAAUGACGUCAUGUUAUCUGGUUGAAAUGACAUUGUGUUAUCUGGAUGGAAUGAAGUCAGGUUAUCUGGAUGGAAUGAAGUCAGGUUAUCUGGAUGGAAUGACAUUGUGUUAUCUGGAUGGAAUGAAGUCAUGUUAUCUGGUUGGAAUGAAGUCAGGUUAUCUGGAUGGAAUGACAUUGUGUUAUCUGGAUGGAAUGAAGUCAUGUUAUCUGGUUGGAAUGAAGUCAGGUUAUCUGGAUGGAAUGACAUUGUGUUAUCUGGAUGGAAUGAAGUCAUGUUAUCUGGUUGGAAUGAAGUCAGGUUAUCUGGAUGGAAUGAAGUCAGG
Molecule: long non-coding RNA, 794 nt
Organism: Oncorhynchus tshawytscha (Chinook salmon)
Lineage: Eukaryota; Metazoa; Chordata; Actinopteri; Salmoniformes; Salmonidae
Source: Ensembl